AUGAAGGCCAAGGGACAUUCACCCUCACAGGCUCUUCAUCCAGUGGGGGCAGGGCAGAGACCACCCCACCCCAACGCACCCUGUUUGCCUGUUCGCCCUGGAGGGCUGGACCUCACUUUUUCCUCUGUUUCCCUCCAUAGGACCUGGAACCCCAUGUGCCCUUGGAUAAAAACGUCCAACCUUCAUCACCAUCGCUUUAUCUUCAAACAGUCACAGUUCCGUGGCAUCCAAAUCAUCACUGGUGCUUGCCUAAAUAAGAAUAUGCAUACUAUCAGGACAUGCCACCCACUUCCAAGAUGGAGUACAAAAUGAGUAAGUUUACGUUUUCUUUUAUACCCAAAUUAUGAUUCCAGACUCCCCACCCCAAAGAUCAUAAGAAAUCCCUUGUUCCAGUUUCCAUCCAAGGUCAUUCUGGGAAGUGCCAGGGAAUGCUUGCCAGUUUCACAGAGCUAACCUGCUUGUUCUUCUCCCAGCAGGCUUUGCUCUCUUUCCCUGGCCACUGGCUCCAAGUCGGUUCCCUUCCUUAGCUGUCCCAACUGCCUAAACCCAAGCUCAGGUGUUUAGCAAGCCUUUACUGAAUGCUUGGGGGAAUAACCCAGAGCCAAGUGCAGCGAUUGCCUUGGUAGCUAAGGGCUCUACAUCCCUUUCCACUCACAGACCCAAAGCCCCUCUCAGGGUCCCAAUAGAGCAGACACCAGCCCCGCCCUCCUCUAGUCCUAAUGAGGAAGAGACCCCUUCCUGCACAAGGGCUGACCUUCAUGCCUACCCCGGAUGACUGAAAGAGAGAGGAUCUAUUUCCUUCAAGGGAAACAGCUCCCCGCUCACCUGCCCACAGACACACACCCCAUGUACACUCAGGUACACAGGGUUUGGUCUGACCUCUCUGACCUAGAAAAAACAAAACAGCAGGUGUCAGCACAAUUCCCAAAGCCAGCUAGUUAUAUAACUAAAUAACACAACAUAAGGAACACCAACAGUUCAACCCAAAUUUUCAUUUAGGUAAAAACCGUUUCUCCAACUCAUCAAAGGCACAGUGAGGCUAAAGAAUCUCCCUGUUUCCAUUCACAACCAUGCCACCCUGGACAGCCGUGGUCAUAGUGGUGGUGAUCUUGCCAUUUUUCUCUCAGGAUCCCAGGUAGGUCCUUUACCUUUGUGUCACUAGAGAGCCCGGUCUGUGGCUUUUUCUGAAAAACCUUAGAAAUCUGCUCUAAAGGAGAAAUGUCUCCACUUGUAGAAAUGAAAAAUUCUCAACACAUUUCAGACUUGGAUACUCCAGUUACAAGCUUCCAUGAUGAAGGCAGCAUUCCUAACC
RNAcentral lists this long non-coding RNA (1312 nucleotides) under Felis catus (domestic cat). Its description in RNAcentral is "lncRNA (ENSFCAG00000053794.1)". The record is from RNAcentral. Lineage: Eukaryota; Metazoa; Chordata; Mammalia; Carnivora; Felidae.